This 272-nucleotide ribosomal RNA is filed under the name uncultured bacterium. RNAcentral's name for it is "partial 16S ribosomal RNA". It matches the Rfam family "Bacterial small subunit ribosomal RNA", at positions 524 to 796 of the family's 1533-position model. The record is from RNAcentral.
UACGGAGGGUGCAAGCGUUGUUCGGAUUUACUGGGCGUAAAGGGCGUGUAGGCGGUUGGCUAAGUCAGAUGUGAAAUCCCUUGGCUUAACCAAGGAACGGCAUUUGAAACUAGCUAACUAGAGUACAGGAGAGGAAAGUGGAAUUCCCAGUGUAGAGGUGAAAUUCAUAGAUAUUGGGAGGAACACCGGUAGCGAAGGCGGCUUUCUGGUCUGAUACUGACGCUGAGACGCGAAAGCGUGGGUAGCAAACAGGAUUAGAAACCCUGUAGUCC